Long non-coding RNA from Oncorhynchus gorbuscha (pink salmon), 210 nucleotides. RefSeq lists it as uncharacterized. NCBI's taxonomy places the organism in Eukaryota, Metazoa, Chordata, Actinopteri, Salmoniformes, Salmonidae. The record is from RefSeq and is a predicted model, not a curated record. The transcript is spliced from 3 exons.
UGACCAGCCUGACCCACAGCAGACACAGUUGUAUGAAGAGGCAGCAGAGGGGUUACACCUGUUAUCAGACCAGCUUCCCCCUCCAGGAAAAGCUCUGUUAGAUGUGAUAUUUCUGGGUUUUGCUGAAGAAGCUCCUAAGCUGAAGGACUUCCUCCCUGUGAUUGGCUCGUUGAAACACAUGCAGACAUGGCACACAGCCAAGAUGACCAU